UUGUAAUUUGGAGAAGGUGUUUCGGAAGAGAUGAUGGUCCAAGUCCCUUGGAACAGGGCGUCGCAGAGGGUGAGAAUCCCGUAUGUGACCAAUCAUCGAUUCCAUGUGAAACCCUUUCGACGAGUCGAGUUGUUUGGGAAUGCAGCUCUAAAUGGGUGGUAAAUUUCAUCUAAAGCUAAAUACCUGCCAGAGACCGAUAGCGCACAAGUAGAGUGAUCGAAAGAUGAAAAGCACUUUGAAAAGAGAGUCAAACAGUACGUGAAAUUGUUGAAAGGGAAGCGCUUGCAAUCAGACUCGUUUGCAGAAGUUCAGCCUUCUUUCGAGAUGGUGUAUUCUUCUGUCAACGGGCCAGCAUCAGUUUCGGCGGUUGGAUAAAGACUUUGAGAACGUAUCUCUCCUCGGAGAGUGUUAUAGCUCGGAGUGUAAUGCAGCAGCUGAGACUGAGGUCCGCGCUUUUGCUAGGAUGCUGGCGUAAUGGUUGCU
This 483-nucleotide ribosomal RNA is filed under the name Graphis betulina. RNAcentral's name for it is "eukaryotic LSU rRNA". It matches the Rfam family "Eukaryotic large subunit ribosomal RNA", at positions 143 to 642 of the family's 3401-position model. Lineage: Eukaryota; Fungi; Ascomycota; Lecanoromycetes; Ostropales; Graphidaceae. The record is from RNAcentral.